AUGAAAAAAUUGCUGGGUCACACAAAACUCCUUAAUCUCUUUAGAUUUUCCUCUUUCUCUUCAACUUCUCAUUUCAACCACUUCACCACUACCAGUUUGAAAUCUGGUGCAGUAAUAAGAACAAUAUUGAAAUUUAAAGUUAUAACCCUAAAAAAUUCACAAUCACAUCGUGCUUUCGUUUUUCAACCAUCUCUCAAUCUUACUGCUAACUACCUCCGUAAUUUCCGCUAUUCUGGUGCAGUUUGGAACGUGGCCGAAGGUGUGGGCAGCCCAGCAGCUUGCUCUAAUAAAUCAUAA
This is a non-coding RNA of Vicia faba (fava bean), 297 nucleotides long. The record is from the annotation of a GenBank genome assembly. Lineage: Eukaryota; Viridiplantae; Streptophyta; Magnoliopsida; Fabales; Fabaceae.